This is a long non-coding RNA of Ictalurus punctatus (channel catfish), 2939 nucleotides long. NCBI's taxonomy places the organism in Eukaryota, Metazoa, Chordata, Actinopteri, Siluriformes, Ictaluridae. The record is from Ensembl.
GGGGGAAAGGGGGGAGAAUCCAAUCCGGUUUUAGCUAGUUUGUGUUUCGAUGGGACGUUAACGUCUUCCUGCGCUGAAACCUGUGUGUCUUUUUAUCGAGCUAACUAAGCACUGUUGUUAGCUAUUUUUAGUCUCUUUGCCUUGCUUACUUUCCCCCUCUUCUUGUAUCUUAUUCCUGGUUUUAUUUUUUAUUUUUGUGUGUGUGUGUGUGUGUGUGUUUUAACACCUCAAAAGCAGCCAUGCCCAAAAGGAGCAAAGUAAGUACUUAUGUGUGAUACUUGGAAUUCUCUUUGAUCUGUCUUUUAAUCGGUGUAAAUGUGCAAAACGUGCCUUAUUGCAUUGCUUUUAAAACAUGCAUUCGAGAGUUAUAUCUCUGUUUUUGCUUUGCUCGCAUUAAGUUUGCAGUGUGCAUUCGUUUUUGUUGCACGUUUAAAAAGAAAAAAUAUAUAUAUACUUAUGUGUUUUGAUUUUGCCACGCGCUUCAUUUCGGUGUGCACGGACUUGGGUUUUCCUUCUUUAACGCGUUGCACGAGCGCGUGCAUUUCUGUUUCAGUUAAGUGCAUGAAGGUGGUUUUGUUUUUUCUGAAGCAGGUUAUUUUCAUGCUCACUGUUUACAAAUGGACGAAGUAGCCCUGGAUACAUGGAGCUAGACAAAGGGGUGUAACUGAGGCGAUCUCUACUUUUCACUUAUUCUUCCCUCUCCAUAACCUCAUAAGCUAAAUGCACGUUUAAAAUAAAUAAAUAAAAUUACAUGCAUUGUAGGUCGUUGUGCUUUUUCGAACGUAUACGAAUCGUUUUGUAUGUGUUUUGGGGUUUUAAAUGCAAAAAAAAAACUCGAUCCUUGUUUUGGAAAACGGUCUUGUAUGGAAAUGCUCCUCCAAGAAAAGCUCAAUGGUCUCUGGUAUGAUCCCUUCGACCGCUUUUUGUUUUUUUUUCCUUUCUUUUUCUCGAAAAACACAUUAAAAAUAAAACAAACGCGUGUGUUUCUCUGGGAGUGAAUUCUACUUGUAUAAAUGUAUUAAUGUGCUUAUAGACGAUACACGUUCGUCGCCAUAGCUGUGAAUUCGUGCAAAUCUGUGGUUGUAAAAAUGGCGAAUCUUGCACACCGCAGCGACUCUUGUCGUUUUUCUGGCCUUUUCCUUUCCUUUAUAACGGCCCCAAACUAUCCGAGUAUGUCCUGGCAACAAUGAAAAGCAAGGGGGGAAAUCAGAAUCGGUAUCAAAACGCCAUUUUAAUCGUAUAUCUUUAAUUAAAUCGUCAACGUUGCUGAAUAGAUUAGUGUGGAAGGGAGGCGGGGUUCAUAGUUCCCUCCUUCUCCCUCGUGCGCACACGGGCAGCCAAUCAGCACACAGCGGCAAGAAAAUGGCGGGCUUUUGAGAUCAACAUUAGUUUUUAUAUAUAUAUGAAGGGGGUGGGGCGGUGUUUGCAGUUUGAGCACCAUUGAGUUGCCAUUAAAGUUCUUGUUUCUAUUCUUCUUUCAAGAAGUAUAACAUCUUGUUUUUCUCCAUUUAAACUGAUUAAAAUUUCUUUGUUUUUCAGGCGAACAAUGACACUGAAGCCAGUGAGGUAAGUUUGUUUUGAAUCGUAAGACGAACGCUGUUUUCACUACUCAAAUUUGUGACGGCACAAAUUCACACGUUCCUUUGAUGUUUUUGUGUGUGUGUGUUUUCAGCCCAAAAGGAGAUCGGCGAGAUUGGUAAACGUAAGUAACCACCCGAUGAGCAAUACACCCAGCACAUUUAGUUUGUACAAAUAACUGUUUUUUUUUUUUGUUUGUGUGUUUUUUUUUUAACCACAAACCGCAUGAUUUUAUUUGAUUUUCAGAAACCGGCACCUCCUAAGGCUGAGCCGAAGCCAAAGGCAAAGAAGGCACCUGCCAAACCCAAAAAGACUAAGGAGCCCAAGGAAGACAAGCCCAACGACGAGGAGAAGAAAGAGGAAGUCCCUGCUGAGAACGGCGAGGCAAAGGAUGACGAUGAGGCACCAGCAACAGAAGAGACGGAGAAGAAGGACGACGAAGCAGAAUAACGUCUUGUCUCGAACCAGUGCUCCCUGUACCUCUCUUCUUGUACAAUUCAGGGGAAUAUUUUUAUCUACUAUUUUCUAAAGGCAGUUUUUUUAGUAGUUUGAUUGUAGAGACACAUUUUUUAUGAAAGCUACAAUGCGUUUCGAGGGGGAUUUCAUCCCAUCCCACAUUUCUACAUCCAGAACAGUUAUUGUCUGUCAGUUCCUCUUUUCAAAGUGGGAAGGAGUUACGCCAUUGGUGCGCGCACACACAAACACAUUGCGCAUGGCGAUUACAAAGACAGUCGGACAACUUGCCCAAAUGACUAACAUUCCAUUGGCUCAAUGAGGGAUUUUUUUGUUGUUGUUGUUGUUGUUUGAAUGUGUGUAACCUGUUAUGUAUGCGUGCGUGGCGGGGAGGGGUGCGAAUCACUCAUCGUUUUCUUGUUUAUAAUGAGGCAGAUUACUUAGAACGUUUGUAAGCUGUGUACUGUAUGUUAAUUCUUGUACCGAUUCUGCUUAAUAAACCUACUUUGUAGUACUGGAGCUCUCCAUGUCAGGCCUGUGUAUCAUCACGUGUUUCGUUGUCUUUCCUGUGAUAGCACCACAAUAGAUCUAUAUAGCAGCUGUGAAACGAUCUUUGACUUUAUACGCAGCGUGUAAUGGUACCUUGUCCAGAUGUGGUCAAGACUGAAUCCUUGGCAAAGCUAAAAAUGCAUCGGCGUGUUAAAGCUUGGCCACCUUUUCAGGCCGGGUCUAAUGAUCGAGUGUAAGAUCUGGCAAAACUGUACAGCACUAGUACCAGCAGUAGCAAUAUACAUGUGCAACUACAAAUGUACAGUUUCUUUCAGCUCAUUGUUUAUAGAUGUAUCUCUGUGUAUUGUUUGAUUAAAGCGAGCCAAUAAAAAUUGUUUGUGAGACCUGUUUCUCCCGCU